Molecule: unclassified non-coding RNA, 246 nt
Filed under: uncultured fungus
Lineage: Eukaryota; Fungi
Description: partial contains 5.8S ribosomal RNA, internal transcribed spacer 2, and large subunit ribosomal RNA
Rfam family: 5.8S ribosomal RNA (bases 1-52)
Source: RNAcentral
AACGCACAUUGCGCCCUCUGGUAUUCCGGGGGGCAUGCCUGUUCGAGCGUCAUUACACCACUCAAGCCUAGCUUGGUAUUGGGGGCUUGCGGCGAAAGCUGCACCUCUUGAAAUCUUCCGGCUGGUACUAUCUAAACCUUUGCGUUGUGGAAACAUUUCUCGCUACGGUUAAGGUGGUGCUCUUCGCCGUUAAAACUUUUUACCAAGGUUGACCUCGGAUCAGGUAGGGAUACCCGCUGAACUUAA